AUUGAACGCUGGCGGCAUGCCUUACACAUGCAAGUCGAACGGUAACAGGUUAAGCUGACGAGUGGCGAACGGGUGAGUAAUGUAUCGGAACGUUCCCAUUCGUGGGGGAUAACUUCUCGAAAGAUCAGCUAAUACCGCAUACGACCUGAGUGUGAAAGCUGGGGAUCGCAAGACCUCGCUCGAUUUGAGCUGCCGAUAUCAGAUUAGGUAGUUGGUGUGGUAAAGGCUCACCAAGCCGACGAUCUGUAGCUGGUCUGAGAGGACGACCAGCCACACUGGGAGUGAGACACGGCCCAGACUACUACGGGAGGCAGCAGUGGGGAAUUUUGGACAAUGGGCGCAAGCAUGAUCCAGCAAUGCCGCGUGCGGGAAGAAGGCCUUCGGGUUGUAAACAGCUUUUGUCAGGGAAGAAAAGGUUCUGGCUAAUACCUGGGAAUCAUGACGGUACCUGAAGAAUAAGCACCGGCUAACUACGUG
RNAcentral lists this ribosomal RNA (477 nucleotides) under uncultured bacterium. RNAcentral describes it as "partial 16S ribosomal RNA". It matches the Rfam family "Bacterial small subunit ribosomal RNA", at positions 30 to 507 of the family's 1533-position model. The record is from RNAcentral.